UCGAGGAUCUUCGGCAAUGGGCGCAAGCCUGACCGAGCGACGCCGCGUGUGCGAUGAAGGCCUUCGGGUUGUAAAGCACUGUCGAGGGGGAGAAAACCCGCAAGGCCUGACCGACCCCUGGAGGAAGCACGGGCUAAGUUCGUGCCAGCAGCCGCGGUAAGACGAACCGUGCGAACGUUGUUCGGAAUCACUGGGCUUAAAGGGCGCGUAGGCGGGCUGCUAAGUCAGGGGUGAAAGCCCACGGCUCAACCGUGGAAGUGCCUUUGAUACUGGCGGCCUGGAGGGAGGUAGGGGCGUGCGGAACUUCCGGUGGAGCGGUGAAAUGCGUAGAUAUCGGAAGGAACACCGGUGGCGAAAGCGGCGCGCUGGACCUCUUCUGACGCUGAGGCGCGAAAGCCAGGGGAGCAAACGGGAUUAGAUACCCCCGUAGUCC
This 433-nucleotide ribosomal RNA is filed under the name uncultured bacterium. Its description in RNAcentral is "bacterial SSU rRNA". It matches the Rfam family "Bacterial small subunit ribosomal RNA", at positions 355 to 796 of the family's 1533-position model. The record is from RNAcentral.